GGGUGAUUAGCUCAGCUGGGAGAGCACCUCCCUUACAAGGAGGGGCGGCGGUUCGAUCCCGUCAUCACCCACCA
This 74-nucleotide transfer RNA is filed under the name Escherichia coli 908616. RNAcentral's name for it is "tRNA-Val". It matches the Rfam family "tRNA". From Rfam's summary of the family: Transfer RNA (tRNA) molecules are approximately 80 nucleotides in length. Their secondary structure includes four short double-helical elements and three loops (D, anti-codon, and T loops). Further hydrogen bonds mediate the characteristic L-shaped molecular structure. tRNAs have two regions of fundamental functional importance: the anti-codon, which is responsible for specific mRNA codon recognition, and the 3' end, to which the tRNAs corresponding amino acid is attached (by aminoacyl-tRNA synthetases). tRNAs cope with the degeneracy of the genetic code in two manners: having more than one tRNA (with a specific anti-codon) for a particular amino acid; and 'wobble' base-pairing, i.e. permitting non-standard base-pairing at the 3rd anti-codon position. The record is from RNAcentral. Lineage: Bacteria; Pseudomonadati; Pseudomonadota; Gammaproteobacteria; Enterobacterales; Enterobacteriaceae.